AAGGGUGCUCAAGAUAAAGUACUCUAUCCACACGUAUCUUUGUUAGCAGGGAGAAAAAUCUUUCUGAGAAGACAUCAGCAGACUUCUCCUUUUCAUUGCCCAGAAAUGGAACGUCAGCUCACCCUGAGACCACUCAACAUAUGAAGAAUAUGAGAUAGUCAUAAUUGACUUCAGUCAGUCUUGAUUCAUUUGAGGUGACUGGGUACUACUCUGCAGCCCAAACCAAAUCAGGGCCCUGCUAGCAAGAAAGAAGAGAAUAGUGGGGACCAACAGGGAUUAAAUGCAGUAACAAGAAGGAGCCAAAACAUGGAAGUGCUCCAAAGUUUGAAGAAGAGGGCAGCAGGCCAACUCAGAAGAACUGGACUCCCCAACACUAUGAGGAGAGAGGGUGGUGGUUCCACCAGAGGUGAGGACCUGCUUUC
This 422-nucleotide long non-coding RNA is filed under the name Macaca mulatta (Rhesus monkey). Its description in RNAcentral is "lncRNA (ENSMMUG00000059485.1)". Lineage: Eukaryota; Metazoa; Chordata; Mammalia; Primates; Cercopithecidae. The record is from RNAcentral.